GUCUACAGCCAUACCACCCUAAACACGCCUGAUCUCAGAAGCUCAGCAGGGCCAGGCCUGGUUAGUACUUGGAUGGGAGAAAAUAUUAAAAGAAAAGUUCCAGAAAUAAACU
Molecule: ribosomal RNA, 112 nt
Filed under: Castor canadensis (American beaver)
Lineage: Eukaryota; Metazoa; Chordata; Mammalia; Rodentia; Castoridae
Source: RNAcentral